This 1325-nucleotide unclassified non-coding RNA is filed under the name Melitaea cinxia (Glanville fritillary). Its description in RNAcentral is "misc RNA ENSMCXG00005000242.1". Lineage: Eukaryota; Metazoa; Arthropoda; Insecta; Lepidoptera; Nymphalidae. The record is from RNAcentral.
UUAGUAAUACAGCAAUUUGAUAAAAUAAACUUUUACCAUUCUAAAAUCUAAAAUCUAAAAACAGCAAUGAGCUGGCAGUCGUUAACUUUUCAAACACUUUAGGGUAGUUUGAGAAAAUAUCUAUUACAAUGCUAUUAGUGACUUCUAAAUUGUGAAUUGUGUUAUAAACUCCUUAGUGAUCAGUUAAGCGGAGAAAACUGGCCUAAUUUUGACUUUGCACCUAUAAUUUUAAAAGUAGGUUUUAUAUGUUGCUGUGAUAAUUUAGGAAUGAAAAAAUUUAAUCUAGAUAAAAUUUUAAGUGUCUCUUUCAUUAUUAAGUUAGUCUAAUAAAUAUUAAAUGUUCAACAUUAAUAUAUUAUAUUUAGCAUAUAAACGACAUUUUGGCGCAAUGGUCACAGCACUGGUUUGUGGCUGUGCACUGGCAGUUGUGGGUUCGGUCCCCGCACAUGACAAACAUUUGUAUUAGCCAUACAGAUGUUUGCAGUGCUUUGGGUGUUUGUGCAGUACUUAUGGGGGAAAAGGCAUAUGCCCAGAGGGAUGUUACAGGCCGAAGCAAUGGGAAUUAUAAAACAUGUAAUAAAUGUUACAAUGCUAAUUAGAAACAGCCAUUAUCAACUUAAAGCUAAUUUUUUAUAAAUUACAUUUUAAUUAAAUGAAACCUUACCCAUCUGUAUAUUGAUCAAUCGAUUCAGCCUGUAACAUCCCACAGCUGGGCAUAGGUCUCUUUCUCCAUAUAGUAAAAGAUACAUAUACAAAAUUAAAUAAGUACUCCAUUCAAUUGGGCUUCAAAAGCACUGUAGAACCCUUAUUUCAAAAAUUAAAAUUAUAUUUGUCCUAUUUAAUUAAUUACAGUUAAAUUGAAGCUACCACCGAUUCGGAAUGCAGAUUCUGCAGAAAAGAAUCGGCAAGAAACUUUACAGUUACUAUUAUAAAUAGCAAAAUGAGUUUUUUUAUGAAAUUAGUCAUAUACUUCCCUUGAAAAUCAUAGAGAACAGUGAUCAGCUUUUUCUCUACAAAUAAUUAACGACUCGGUAGACUCUGGGUACCUGCUAAGUAGAACAUCGCACAGGUGCCUCAGUUACGGCACCCGAUCUCAGCCAGCAUUUACCACCUCUAUCUCCAGGACAAAGUACUGUGCCAUUUCAUUUAUCGUAAGUAAAAAGGAACGAUGAUGGCCGGCAAGAAUGUCGCCGAUAUAGUGGUCGUCGUGGAGACUUUGCCCACUAAGGAGGCUAUGGAAGAGCUGUCAAGUAAAAUAAGUUAUAUUAAACAAUUUAUUAGGAUCGUUACAAUAUGAAAUUAAAUUAUCAACAAUUAUACGUAAA